This 231-nucleotide ribosomal RNA is filed under the name uncultured bacterium. Its description in RNAcentral is "partial 16S ribosomal RNA". It matches the Rfam family "Bacterial small subunit ribosomal RNA", at positions 524 to 754 of the family's 1533-position model. The record is from RNAcentral.
UACGGGGGGGGCAAGCGUUGUUCGGAAUUACUGGGCGUAAAGGGCGCGUAGGCGGCCAUCUAAGUCAGACGUGAAAUCCCUCGGCUCAACCGAGGAACUGCGUCUGAUACUGGAAGGCUUGAAUCCGGGAGAGGGAUGUGGAAUUCCAGGUGUAGCGGUGAAAUGCGUAGAUAUCUGGAGGAAUACCGGUGGCGAAGGCGGCAUCCUGGACCGACAUUGACGCGUGAACGG